Molecule: ribosomal RNA, 425 nt
Filed under: uncultured bacterium
Lineage: Bacteria
Description: partial 16S ribosomal RNA
Rfam family: Bacterial small subunit ribosomal RNA
Source: RNAcentral
GUUAGGAAUAUUGGACAAUGGGCGCAAGCCUGAUCCAGCCAUGCCGCGUGAGUGAUGAAGGCCUUCGGGUUGUAAAGCUCUUUAGCCGAUGAUUAUAAUGACUGUAGUCGGAAAAUAAGCCCCGGCUAACUUCGUGCCAGCAGCCGCGGUAAUACGAAGGGGGCGAGCGUUAUUCGGAAUCACCGGGCGUAAAGCGUGCGUAGGCGGCUUUGCAAGUUGGGAGUGAAAGCCCAGGGCUCAACCCUGGAAUUGCUCUCAAAACUGCAAGGCUCGAAUUCGGGAGAGGAUAGCGGAAUUGUCAGUGUAGCAGUGAAAUGCGUAGAUAUUGACAGGAACACCAGUGGCGUAAGCGGCUAUCUGGACCGAUAUUGACGCUGAGGCACGAAAGCGUGGGGAUCAAACAGGAUUAGAAACCCUAGUAGUCC